GAUUGGUUGUUUCACUUUGUGAGCAGACCAUAAGUCAUUGCCUGACCUCUUAGUGUCUUGUUGAAUACUCUGAUGUGCUCUUAGUGGACAUUUCCCGAAGACUUGUAUUGAUCCUGUGGGAAUCAUUUUGUUUUUGGAAAUGAUUAUCUUAAUCCUAUCAUGGUUUACCAUCAUGGUGUCUGCAGUACCACUUCCACAAGGAGGAGCCACUCAAGCUCUUGAAGCAACAAACCAGGGACUCGACACUCAGACGCCGGCCCCUUUAUCUCCUAAUGUGGUCCAACCACAGCCGGGGGUCUCCUAUCAGCUGGGUCCCCAGGGUGGUCCCCAGUUCCUGCCUCCCACACAGCACUACUGGUGGCCUUCGUUAGGGGGAAGUCCAAGGAUCAUUCCUCUGCAGCCGAGCAUCUACGGAUCCCAGCCUGCUGACCAGCCGACACUCCCACAGCAGCCUUCGAUUUUCCCUCCUUACAGAUACGUCCCACUGCUCUCGUCUCCCUAUGGGAAUCAACUGGUAAGAUGAUACAUAUCUAUUACCGAAAUACACUGACUUUGUUCUCGGGGACUGAUCCUCCCAUGCACUGAUGAGAGUGUACUGCUGCGGACUGAAUGAUAGACUUCAGAUGGAAGCUGCUGUCACAACCUUGAAAGGUUCGGCCUGGGGGGGGACUGUUCUGUCAACGUGUACUUUAGGAAAAUGGAAAAACAGUGACAGUGUAAUUGAAACAAAGAUAUUUAUACUGUGCUGCAAUCUGUCACUUGAUUUAUGAACCUGAGAUGAAAACCGGGACGUUGUGCCUCAUUUUGACAUGUUUUUCUGCUACAAGUGAUAUUAUAAUUGGAUCUGCCUUUUGGAAA
Gasterosteus aculeatus aculeatus (three-spined stickleback) is the source of this 858-nucleotide long non-coding RNA. The record is from Ensembl. Lineage: Eukaryota; Metazoa; Chordata; Actinopteri; Perciformes; Gasterosteidae.